GCGGAGGAAAAGAAACUAACAAGGAUUCCCCUAGUAACUGCGAGUGAAGCGGGAAAAGCUCAAAUUUAAAAUCUGGUGGCCUUUGGCCAUCC
This 92-nucleotide ribosomal RNA is filed under the name Russula fellea. RNAcentral describes it as "partial 28S ribosomal RNA". It matches the Rfam family "Eukaryotic large subunit ribosomal RNA", at positions 50 to 140 of the family's 3401-position model. The record is from RNAcentral. RNAcentral also lists the same sequence under 1 other name. Lineage: Eukaryota; Fungi; Basidiomycota; Agaricomycetes; Russulales; Russulaceae.